This 775-nucleotide ribosomal RNA is filed under the name uncultured Neocallimastigales. RNAcentral describes it as "partial large subunit ribosomal RNA". It matches the Rfam family "Eukaryotic large subunit ribosomal RNA", at positions 22 to 635 of the family's 3401-position model. The record is from RNAcentral. Lineage: Eukaryota; Fungi; Neocallimastigomycota; Neocallimastigomycetes; Neocallimastigales.
GUACACGCUGUGACUAGCAUAUCAAUAAGCGGAGGAAAAGAAACUAACAAGGAUUCCCCUAGUAACGGCGAGUGAAGCGGGAAGAGCUCAAAUUUGAAAUCUUAAAGGGUUUCCCUUUACGAAUUGUAGUUUAAAGAAGUGUUUUCUGUUGAGGUUUUGGUAAAAGUUCUUUGGAAUAGGACAUCAUAGAGGGUGAGAAUCCCGUAUUUGACCUUUACUUUCAACUUUGUGAUACACUUUCAAGGAGUCGGAUUGUUUGGGAAUGCAGUCCAAAAUGGGUGGUAAAUUUCAUCUAAAGCUAAAUAUUGGCGAGAGACCGACAGCGAACAAGUACCGUGAGGGAAAGAUGAAAGGAACUUUGAAAAGAGAGUUAAACAGUACGUGAAAUUGUCAAAAGGGAAGCGUUUGACACCAGUGUUGUUUUUCUGGAAAAUCAAUUAAAGAACUGUUUAUGCUAAGUUGUUUAGACUUUAUCAGCUAACUGUUUAGUUUUGAGCUUUUCUUUAAUGCACUUUUCAGUUAACAAGUCAACAUCAAUUUCUUUUGCUGUAAAAAAGCUUGAGGAAGGUGGCUUGAGAUUCGUCUUAAGUGUUUAUAGCCUCUUGCCUAUGCAGUCGGAGAGAUUGAGGUCUGCAGCGUAGAUCCUUCGGGGCUAAAUGCAUUUGUGCUAAGUUAUAGCAUUUUAUAGACAACUUGUUGACUAUGAUUUGUCUUGUAGCUUACUCGCUUAUGUUAUUUUACCUACGCUUAGGAUGUUGAAGAUGUAGCACAUCAU